AGCAGCCGCGGUAAUUCCAGCUCCAAUAGCGUAUAUUAAAGUUGUUGCAGUUAAAAAGCUCGUAGUUGAAUUUCGGGGUUAGUAGAUUGGUCGUGCCACUGGUAUGCACUGGUCUUACUGAUUCCUCCUUCCUGAUGAACCGUAAUGCCAUUAAUUUGGUGUUGCGGGGAGACUGGACUGUUACUUUGAAAAAAUUAGAGUGUUUAAAGCAGGCUAACGCUUGAAUACAUUAGCAUGGAAUAAUGAAAUAGGACGUUCGAUCCUAUUUUGUUGGUUUCUAGGAUUGACGUAAUGAUUAAUAGGGAUAGUUGGGGGCAUUAGUAUUCAAUUGUCAGAGGUGAAAUUCUUGGAUUUAUUGAAGACUAACUACUGCGAAAGCAUUUGCCAAGGAUGUUUUCAUUAAUCAAGAACGAAAGUUAGGGGAUCGAAGACGAUCAGAUACCGUCGUAGUCUUAACCAUAAACUAUGCCGACUAGGGACCGGAUGAUGUUAAUUUUUAAUGACUCAUUCGGCGCCUUAC
Molecule: ribosomal RNA, 520 nt
Filed under: uncultured Glomus
Lineage: Eukaryota; Fungi; Glomeromycota; Glomeromycetes; Glomerales; Glomeraceae
Description: SSU rRNA
Rfam family: Eukaryotic small subunit ribosomal RNA
Source: RNAcentral